This 406-nucleotide ribosomal RNA is filed under the name uncultured bacterium. RNAcentral describes it as "bacterial SSU rRNA". It matches the Rfam family "Bacterial small subunit ribosomal RNA", at positions 29 to 420 of the family's 1533-position model. The record is from RNAcentral.
AACGAACGUUGGCGGCGCGCUUAACACAUGCAAGUCGCACGCGAAAGGGAGCAAUCCCCGGUAGCGUGGCGCACGGGUGAGUAACACGUGGAUAAUCUACCCUCGAGCGGGGGAUAACCUUCCGAAAGGAGGGCUAAUACCGCAUAAGACCACGACCAGUACGCUGGUUGGGGUCAAAGCAGGCCUCUACAUGUAAGCUUGCACUUGAGGAUGAGUCCGCGGCCCAUCAGCUAGUUGGUAGUGUAACGGACUACCAAGGCAAAGACGGGUAGCUGGUCUGAGAGGAUGAUCAGCCACACUGGAACUGAGACACGGUCCAGACUCCUACGGGAGGCAGCAGUGGGGAAUCUUGCGCAAUGGGCGAAAGCCUGACGCAGCGACGCCGCGUGGGUGAUGAAGGGCCUUC